RNAcentral lists this ribosomal RNA (1049 nucleotides) under Sordariomycetes sp. genotype 343. Its description in RNAcentral is "eukaryotic LSU rRNA". The stretch from base 462 to 1049 matches the Rfam family "Eukaryotic large subunit ribosomal RNA", at positions 1 to 599 of the family's 3401-position model. Lineage: Eukaryota; Fungi; Ascomycota; Sordariomycetes. The record is from RNAcentral.
AAACUCCCAAACCAUCGCGAACGCAACCUCACGUACGUUGCCUCGGCCCGCGCGCCUAAAGCCUCCGGGCGGACGGGCGCGAGCCGGGGUGGCCAGACACUAAACUAUUUAUCUAUGGGCCUCUCUGAGUACAACUUUUAAUAAGUAAAAACUUUCAACAACGGAUCUCUUGGUUCUGGCAUCGAUGAAGAACGCAGCGAAAUGCGAUACGUAAUGUGAAUUGCAGAAUUCCGUGAAUCAUCGAAUCUUUGAACGCACAUUGCGCCCGCCAGUAUUCUGGCGGGCAUGCCUGUUCGAGCGUCAUUUCAACCAUCAAGCCCUGCUUGCGUUGGGGAACUGCGGCUGCCCGCAGGCCCAUCUGACCACCGGCGGGCUCGCCCACACACCGAGCGCAGUAGCACAUCUCGCUCCGGCCUGUGAGGGCGGGUCCUCGCCGUCAAAACAAACAAACCCUGAAAUGUUGACCUCGGAUCAGGUAGGACUACCCGCUGAACUUAAGCAUAUCAAUAAGCGGAGGAAAAGAUACCAACAGGUAUUGCCUUAGUAGCGGCGAGCGAAGCGGCAAGAGCUCAGAUUUGAAGUCUGGCCUUCGGGCCCGAGUUGCAACCUGGAGAGGAUGACUUUGGUGACGCGCCGGCUAAGACCACUGGAACGUGGCGCUAUAAAGGGUGACAGCCCCGUAGAGCCGGACGCCGAUCCUCUGUAAGUCUCCUUCGAAGAGUCGAGUAGUUUGGGAAUGCUGCUCAAAAUGGGAGGUAAAUUUCUUCUAAAGCUAAAUAUUGGCCAGAGACCGAUAGCGCACAAGUAGAGUGAUCGAAAGAUGAAAAGCACUUUGAAAAGAGGGUUAAACAGCACGUGAAAUUGUUGAAAGGGAAGCGCCUGUGACCAGACUUGCGCCCGGCUGAUCAUCCGGUGUUCUCACCGGUGCACUCUGCCGGGCUCAGGCCAGCAUCGGUUCUCGAGGGGGGAUAAAGGCUCAGGGAACGUAGCUCCUCCGGGAGUGUUAUAGCCCUGGGUGCAAUGCCCUCUCGGGGACCGAGGACCGCGCG